CCUACGGGAGGCAGCAGUGAGGAAUAUUGGUCAAUGGCCGUAAGGCUGAACCAGCGACGCCGCGUGAAGGAAGAAGGAUUUCUGGUUUGUAAACUUCUUUUAUAGGGGAAUAAAGGUAUCCACGUGUGGAUUUUUGCAUGUACCCUAUGAAUACGCAUCGGCUAACUCCGUGCUAGCCGCCGCGGUAAUACGGAGGAUGCGAGCGUUAUCCGGAUUUAUUGGGUUUAAAGGGUGCGUAGGUUGUUUUGUAAGUCAACGGGGAAAGUUUGUGGCUCAACCAUAAAAUUGCUGUGGAUACUGGAAGACUUGAGUGUGUUUGAGGUAGGCGGAAUGCGUGGUGUAGCGGUGAAAUGCAUAGAUAUCACGCAGAACUCCGAUGGCGAAGGCAGCUUACUAAGCCAUAACUGACGCUGAGGCACGAAAGCGUGGGGAUCAAACAGGAUUAGAUACCCCUGUAGUC
Molecule: ribosomal RNA, 460 nt
Filed under: uncultured bacterium
Lineage: Bacteria
Description: partial 16S ribosomal RNA
Rfam family: Bacterial small subunit ribosomal RNA
Source: RNAcentral